RNAcentral lists this ribosomal RNA (914 nucleotides) under uncultured archaeon. RNAcentral describes it as "bacterial SSU rRNA". It matches the Rfam family "Archaeal small subunit ribosomal RNA", at positions 1 to 922 of the family's 1478-position model. The record is from RNAcentral.
UUCCGGUUGAUCCUGCCGGACCUGACUGCUAUCGGAUUGAUACUAAGCCAUGCUAGUCUUUGCAGUAAUGCAAGGCAUACGGCUCAGUAACACGUAGUCAACUUACCCUAUGGACGAGGAUAAUCUCGGGAAACUGAGCAUAAUACUCGAUAGAUCAUAAUGCCUGGAAUGGUUUAUGGUUAAAAUGAUUCGUCGCCAUAGGAUGGGACUGCGGCCUAUCAGCUUGUUGGUGAGGUAAUGGCCCACCAAGGCGAUUACAGGUACGGGCUCUGAGAGGAGAAGCCCGGAGAUGGGUACUGAGACAAGGACCCAGGCCCUAUGGGGCGCAGCAGGCGAGAAAACUUUGCAAUGUGCGAAAGCACGACAAGGUUAAUCCGAGUGAUUUCUGCUAAAGAAAUCUUUUGCAAGUCAUAAAACCACUAGUGAAUAAGGGGUGGGCAAGUUCUGGUGUCAGCCGCCGCGGUAAAACCAGCACCUCAAGUGGUCAGGAGGAUUAUUGGGCCUAAAGCAUCCGUAGCCGGCUCUGUAAGUUUUCGGUUAAAUCCAUGUGCUCAACGCAUGGGCUGCCGAAAAUACUGCAUAGCUAGGGAGUGGGAGAGGUAGACGGUACUCGGUAGGAAGGGGUAAAAUCCUUUGAUCUAUCGAUGACCACCUGUGGCGAAGGCGGUCUACCAGAACACGUUCGACGGUGAGGGAUGAAAGCUGGGGGAGCAAACCGGAUUAGAUACCCGGGUAGUCCCAGCUGUAAACGAUGCAGACUCGAUGAUGCAUUGGCAUAUAGCCAGUGCAGUGUCGCAGGGAAGCCGUUAAGUCUGCCGCCUGGGAAGUACGUACGCAAGUAUGAAACUUAGAGGAAUUGGCGGGGGAGCACCACAAGGGGUGAAGCCUGCGGUUCAAUUGGAUUCAACGCCGGA